Drosophila montana is the source of this 471-nucleotide long non-coding RNA. RefSeq lists it as uncharacterized. The record is from RefSeq and is a predicted model, not a curated record. The transcript is spliced from 3 exons. NCBI's taxonomy places the organism in Eukaryota, Metazoa, Arthropoda, Insecta, Diptera, Drosophilidae.
UAGUAUUAUUGGCUAAAGAAAAAAUCAAAAUCAAAGGCUAACUAUUUUAAACAUUUUUGCAAGACAUUUAAUUGUCCGCUUUACAACUAUUUUAGUCAGAGAAUAAUCAAUGUCGUGGUUGCAAAGCCUAUUAUAAAUCUUUAUCUGAUUGCUCUCACAGAAUGCAUCAGAGUUUCCUGAGACGCAAUAAAUUCUAUAAAAUGGAAGUAUUCUCAAUGUUAUUGGCAAGCGAGACGCAUUUUUUCCAAAUACUCCCCACUUAUCUUAUCGAUAGGCCGUGAAGCGUGACCACCGACCAAACAAGAAGAUUGUUGAAAAGCCUGUAAAGCAAACAAAUUAGUCAAUGUAUAAAAAUGGAUUCGACAUUUAUUUUUGUUCGUUGUUAAAUUUGCUCAAUGGAAAAUUUUUUAAUAACGAUUUAUGCAUGCUUCAUUAGACAGGCGGGAAAAAAACUUGUAAACAAGAAGUAAA